ACCCUACGGAACAACAGUUGGAAACGACUGCUAAUACCGUAUACGCCCUACGGGGGAAAGAUUUAUCGGGGUAUGAUGAGCCCGCGUUGGAUUAGCUAGUUGGUGGGGUAAAGGCCUACCAAGGCGACGAUCCAUAGCUGGUCUGAGAGGAUGAUCAGCCACAUUGGGACUGAGACACGGCCCAAACUCCUACGGGAGGCAGCAGUGGGGAAUAUUGGACAAUGGGCGCAAGCCUGAUCCAGCCAUGCCGCGUGAGUGAUGAAGGUCUUAGGAUUGUAAAGCUCUUUCACCGACGAAGAUAAUGACGGUAGUCGGAGAAGAAGCCCCGGCUAACUUCGUGCCAGCAGCCGCGGUAAUACGAAGGGGGCUAGCGUUGUUCGGAAUUACUGGGCGUAAAGCGCACGUAGGCGGAUAUUUAAGUCAGGGGUGAAAUCCCAGAGCUCAACUCUGGAACUGCCUUUGAUACUGGGUAUCUUGAGUAUGGAAGAGGUGAGUGGAAUUCCGAGUGUAGAGGUG
RNAcentral lists this ribosomal RNA (516 nucleotides) under uncultured Rhizobium sp. Its description in RNAcentral is "bacterial SSU rRNA". It matches the Rfam family "Bacterial small subunit ribosomal RNA", at positions 133 to 683 of the family's 1533-position model. The record is from RNAcentral. Lineage: Bacteria; Pseudomonadati; Pseudomonadota; Alphaproteobacteria; Hyphomicrobiales; Rhizobiaceae.